This 1232-nucleotide ribosomal RNA is filed under the name metagenome. RNAcentral's name for it is "bacterial SSU rRNA". It matches the Rfam family "Bacterial small subunit ribosomal RNA", at positions 8 to 1274 of the family's 1533-position model. The record is from RNAcentral.
AGAGUUUGAUCCCGGCUCAGAAUCAACGCUGGCGGCGCGCUUAACACAUGCAAGUCGAACGAGAAAGGGGAGCAAUCCCUGAGUAAAGUGGCGUACGGGUGAGUAACACGUGGAUUAUCUACCUUUUAGUGGGGAAUACCGUUGGGAAACCGACGACAAUACCGCAUAAUCCCGAGAGGGGAAAGCAGCAAUGCGCUGAAAGAGGAGUCCGCGGUCGAUUAGCUAGUUGGUAGGGUAAAAGCCUACCAAGGCUGUGAUCGAUAGCCGGCCUGAGAGGGCACACGGCCACACUGGCACUGAAACACGGGCCAGACUCCUACGGGAGGCAGCAGUGGGGAAUCUUGCACAAUGGGGGAAACCCUGAUGCAGCGACGCCGCGUGAGCGAUGAAGCCCUUCGGGGUGUAAAGCUCUUUCGGCAGGGGCGAUAAUGACGGUACCUGCAGAAGCAGCUGCGGCUAACUACGUGCCAGCAGCCGCGGUAAUACGUAGGCAGCAAGCGUUGUUCGGAGUUACUGGGCGUAAAGGGUGCGUAGGCGGUCCUAUAAGUAUGGUGUGAAAUCUCCCGGCUUAACUGGGAGGGUGCGCUAUAGACUGUGGGACUAGAGUGUGGGAGAGGAAAGUGGAAUUCCUGGUGUAGCGGUGAAAUGCGUAGAUAUCAGGAGGAACACCGGCGGUGUAAACGGCUUUCUGGACCAUAACUGACCUGAGGCACGAAAGCGUGGGUAGCAAACAGGAUUAGAUACCCUGGUAGUCCACGCCCUAAACGAUGCAUAUUUGGUGUGGGUCAUUCAGUUGAUCCGUGCCGGAGCUAACGCGUUAAAUAUGCCGCCUGGGGAGUACAGUCGCAAGGCUGAAACUCAAAGGAAUUGACGGGGGCCCGCACAAGCGGUGGAGCAUGUGGUUUAAUUCGACGCAACGCGAAGAACCUUACCUGGGCUCGAAAUGCUAUGGACCAGCUGGUGAAAGCCGGCCUUCCCGCAAGGGACCGUAGUAUAGGUGCUGCAUGGCUGUCGUCAGCUCGUGUCGUGAGAUGUUGGGUUAAGUCCCGCAACGAGCGCAACCCUUGUCCUGUGUUGCCAUACCGAAAGGUGGAACUCGCAGGAGACCGCCAGGGAUAACCUGGAGGAAGGUGGGGAUGACGUCAAGUCCUCAUGGCCUUUAUGUCCAGGGCUACACACGUGCUACAAUGGACGGUACAAAGGGCUGCCAACCCGCGAGGGGGAGCCAAUCC